Molecule: ribosomal RNA, 253 nt
Filed under: uncultured bacterium
Lineage: Bacteria
Description: partial 16S ribosomal RNA
Rfam family: Bacterial small subunit ribosomal RNA
Source: RNAcentral
GACGUAGGGUGCGAGCGUUGUCCGGAUUUAUUGGGCGUAAAGAGCUCGUAGGCGGCUCGUCGCGUCGACCGUGAAAACCCGCAGCUUAACUGCGGGCUUGCGGUUGAUACGGGCGGGCUAGAGUUCGGUAGGGGAGACUGGAAUUCCUGGUGUAGCGGUGAAAUGCGCAGAUAUCAGGAGGAACACCGGUGGCGAAGGCGGGUCUCUGGGCAGUAACUGACGCUGAGGAGCGAAAGCGUGGGGAGCGAACAGG